Molecule: RNA transcript, 3397 nt
Organism: Globicephala melas (long-finned pilot whale)
Lineage: Eukaryota; Metazoa; Chordata; Mammalia; Artiodactyla; Delphinidae
Gene: GDAP2
Gene name: ganglioside induced differentiation associated protein 2
Source: RefSeq, a predicted model, not a curated record
CGGCCGGGAGCGGAAGGCGGUGUUUCGCCUGCCCGGGCUCCUGCGGCUGGUCUUUCCAGCCUCCUGCGACUUUGGCUGCUUUACCCGCCGAGCUCCUGGCAAGGCUUGUCCGGGGAUGCCGCUCGGCCGCUUUCCACGAGGAACUUAACCCGCCGUGCCUGCCUCCCGGAUGGGCCCGCCGGAAUGCUCUAAAGUCUACAGUGAAUAUUGAAUUGCUGAGGAAUUUGGGAAAAGACAAGCUGAAGUUCCCAUUCCAUGGAUCCCUUGGGUGCACCUUCCCAGUUUGUGGAUGUGGAUACACUACCAAGCUGGGGCAAUUCUUGUGAAGAACAAUUAACUACUUCUGAUACUGCAGCUGAAACAUAUCAGGAAGAGACUAUUAGAUCACCUUUUCUUUACAAUAAGGAUAUCAAUGGAAAAGUGGUUCUCUGGAAAGGAGAUGUGGCAUUACUGAACUGUACAGCUAUUGUGAAUACCAGCAAUGAAAGUCUUACUGAUAAGAAUCCUGUGUCAGAAAGUAUCUUCAUGCUUGCAGGGCCUGAUUUGAAGGAGGACCUCCAGAAACUUAGAGGUUGCCGGACAGGUGAAGCAAAAUUGACAAAAGGAUUUAAUCUAGCUGCCCGGUUCAUCAUUCACACAGUGGGACCUAAGUACAAGAGCCGCUAUCGCACAGCCGCUGAGAGUUCCCUAUACAGCUGCUACAGAAACGUACUUCAGCUGGCAAAAGAGCAGUCCAUGUCUUCUGUUGGAUUUUGUGUCAUCAAUUCUGCAAAACGAGGUUACCCUUUAGAGGAUGCGACACACAUAGCACUUCGCACAGUAAGGAGAUUCCUCGAAAUUCACGGAGAGACUAUUGAAAAAGUAGUAUUUGCUGUCUCUGAACUUGAAGAGGCUACUUACCAAAAGCUGCUACCUCUGUACUUCCCAAGGUCAUUAAAGGAGGAGAGUUGCUCAUUGCCAUACCUACCUGCAGAUAUUGGAAAUGCAGAAGGGGAGCCUGUGGUACCCGAACGGCAGAUAAGAAUAAGUGAAAAACCUGGUGCCCCGGAGGACAACCAAGAAGAAGAGGAGGAUGAAGGCUUGGGAGUUGAUCUCUCUUUCAUUGGCUCUCAUGCUUUUGCUCGAAUGGAAGGAGAUAUUGAUAAGCAAAGAAGACUGAUCCUUCAAGGACAGUUAUCAGAGGCAGCCCUGCAGAAGCAGCAUCAAAGAAAUUAUAAUCGCUGGUUGUGUCAAGCAAGAUCUGAGGAUCUAUCUGAUAUUGCUUCUCUAAAAGCCUUAUACCAAACAGGUGUUGAUAACUGUGGUCGCACAGUAAUGGUGGUAGUUGGAAGAAACAUUCCUGUAACAUUAAUAGAUAUGGACAAGGCUCUCUUAUAUUUUAUCCAUGUAAUGGAUCACAUUGCUGUGAAGGAAUACGUAUUAGUAUAUUUUCACACACUGACCAGCGAAUACAAUCACCUGGACUCUGACUUCCUGAAGAAACUCUACGAUGUUGUUGAUGUCAAGUACAAGAGGAAUUUGAAGGCUGUUUAUUUUGUUCAUCCAACAUUUCGUUCAAAGUUCCCUGAGCAGGGGUUGAAUCCGGGCCACAGCAGUGAAAGCCCGGAAGCUGAACCACUGGGCCACCGGGGAGCUCCCAGUGUUCAUCUUCUUGAUUGUGAUGAUGGUAUAAUGGGUGUAUACGUAAUGUCACAACUUAACAAAUUUUAUCCUUUAAAUAUGUGCAGUUUAUUGUAAGUUGGGUAUAUCUUAAUAAAACUUUUUUUUAAAACUGCAUGAGAUGUCACUGCACUGCCACCAGAAUGGCUAAAGUUUAAAAAACUGACGAUACCAGAUACUACCAAUGAUGUGGAGUAACUGGAAUUCUCCUACAGUAUAAGUCAGAAUGUGAAUUUCUGCGACCACUUUGAAAAAAGUUAUGACAGUUUCUUAUAAACUCAAUAUAUACCUAGUCUGUGACCGAGCAAUUCCAAUACUAGGUAUUUACCCAAGUGAAAUGAAAUAUAUGUGCAUAGAAAGACUUCUACAGGAAUGUUCACUGCAGCAUUAAUCAUAGCAGCCAGUGACUGCCAGCCAAGGUGUCCAUCAAUAGGAUUAUGAAUAAUUAAACUCUGCUGUAUACUUGUAAUGGAAUAUUUCUUGGCAAUAAAAGACAACAUCGAUACUACUGAUAUACACAACAGCAUGAAGGAAUCUUAAAAACGUUAAUGCUGAGUGAAGGAAGCCUUACAUAAAAGAGUCAUACUGUAUAAUUCCACUUAUAUGAGAUUCUAGAGCAGGCAAAACUAAUGCAUGGUAGAAGAAGAAUCAAAACAGUGUUUGCCUCUGGGAAGAGGGGCGUGAGGGAACUUUCUGGGGUGAUGAAAAUGUUUUGUAUCUCAAUAGGAGUUUUACUAAUACAAGUGUGUACAUCUGUCUAACCAGCAAAAGUACACUUAAAAUCUGUGUAUUUCAUCGAAUGUAAAUUUUAUAGCAAACUGCACGAACACUGAACUCUAGUUAAAGAUAUGAAUGCUGUAUUUGGGGAACGUUUACUGACGUCUGCAGUUUACUUUGAGGUGCAGCAAAAAAGUAAGAUGGGUUAAUAGAUGCAUAGAGGAACAGAUAGAUGUGUGAUGAAGAAAACUUAAGGAAAGUGUUAAUGAUCGUCUGAAUUAUUUCUGUACCAGUGUUCCCUGUAAAAUUCUUUCAACUUUAGUGAAUGUUGGAAUUUUCAUCCAAAUUAUGAAUCUUCAUAAUUUUUUAAUGGAAAAAAAACUUCUUUAACUUUUGUCACAAAUUCAGACUUAUCCAAAGAGUGUUACUCUGUACCAGACUUACGAGAAUACAUAGCCACUGUUAGCUAAGAUCUGACUUUAACCCCUCCUUCCCCACACAAGAGAGUCAGUGAAUAGCUAUCUUUCCCCCACUUGGACACCAAUGGAUAGACAUUACCAGAAAUUUCAGUGUUAGAGCCACUAGCGUUGGUUGCCACACCAUUGGAAUUGCUUCAGGUAGAAGUCAGUGCAGAUGACGGGUAGGCAGAGACUGAAGAGCAGAUGUAUGAAGUGAAAGCCAUUAUGUUACCUUUCAUAAUAUUUUGGGAUGGAGAAACUGAUGAAGGAUUGAGAAAAUAAAACCCAUGUGUAAUGAAAUCCACCAUUAUUUUAUACUAAAUCGAAAACUGUAAAUGGAGGGGUUGUAAUUAUAAAAUAAUGAGAUGAAAUCAAGGGAUAAUAAAACAAUAGAAUCACUGUCCUGAUUUCCAUACUUCUCAGAUCUUUUCCAGGACACUCCACCCAACGUGGUAUCAACAUGGUUUUUUACCACCUUUUCUGUCUCAGGACUGAAGGACAAAAUCCACCAUGUGGACAGCCUCCACCAGCUGUUUUCUGCCAUCUCCCCAGAACAGAUCGAC